UCCGAUAUGGUGUAGUGGCUAACAUUAUCGCCUCUCAUUCUUCGAGCGCGAUAGCCCGGGGUUCGAUUCCCCGUGUCGGAA
Non-coding RNA from Lentinula novae-zelandiae, 81 nucleotides. The record is from the annotation of a GenBank genome assembly. NCBI's taxonomy places the organism in Eukaryota, Fungi, Basidiomycota, Agaricomycetes, Agaricales, Omphalotaceae.